RNAcentral lists this microRNA precursor (95 nucleotides) under Drosophila virilis. RNAcentral describes it as "microRNA dvi-mir-977 precursor". Its record names the gene dvi-mir-977. The record is from miRBase by way of RNAcentral. Lineage: Eukaryota; Metazoa; Arthropoda; Insecta; Diptera; Drosophilidae.
CCCCUGGCCCAGCCCAGUUGCGAUUGCGCGGACAUCUCAUCGUAUAAACAUUCGAUAACCAACGAGAUAUUCACGUUAUCGAGACUGAGACGUCG